Prosopis cineraria is the source of this 2024-nucleotide long non-coding RNA. RefSeq lists it as uncharacterized. The record is from RefSeq and is a predicted model, not a curated record. The transcript has 4 exons. NCBI's taxonomy places the organism in Eukaryota, Viridiplantae, Streptophyta, Magnoliopsida, Fabales, Fabaceae.
CGCUCAUAAAAUUGGAGCAGCUCGCGGUUGCGCCAAUUUUAAGCAAAGUAGCAAACCCUAAUCCAACGGUUAUAUCAUAGCCGCCGACCUUCGCGGUGCGGUUUCUGCUGCUUCGUUGAGUGGGUUUAGUCCCGUGGUUCCAUCAUAUCGGUCUGGUUCGCUCUACUCUGAACGUCAUCUUCUUCUGCUCGGAGAUGGCCAGAGAGAUGCUGAAGGAGCACGGCGAGCAAUUGGCCGACCGGCACAAUAGCCGAUCCGCGGCCAAGUUUAGCAGAGACAGCAAAGAUCGGCGAUUAUGGGCCUCACUAGAUGAAGGUGAGGAAGGUCUUCACGCUCGAUCUUUUCUCUCCUAAGCGCCUUGAAGCGUUGAGACCCAUUCGAGAGGACGAGAUCACCGCCAUGGUUGACUCCGUCUUCAAGUGAAAUCGCUAGAACCGAUGCAUUAUGAUCCGCUACAAAAGUCGAUCUGGUAGCUUCCUCCGGGUACUCAACAACUAGAGUUGUAAUUGGGCUGGAUUUUGUUCCUUCAUACGCAAAAUCAUCUUUAUUUCAGCAACCAAUUGAGGAAGAUAGUGAUGAGGACUGAGGAGCUGGUAUAUGCUGACAGUACUUGUGAGAGAAAAAUAAGGGCCAGGGACCUUUUUUUCACUUCUGUUAAUAAAAGGUGAAAAAUAUGAGUUAGCUUGUAUUUACUGUAAAAGGCAAGUUUAUCCAUUUUCCACCUUUAAGCGUGUGGCCUAAUUGACGUAGUUUCACUACUUGUGACAUGGCCGAUUGGUUUGAGGGGAUGGUGGAAAAGAGCGAAUGCAUGGUUUGAGAGAAGAGGUACUGUUGUAGAUUGGUGAGGUUGUUCUGUCUUGUUGGCUGUUGAUGUUAUGUGUUUUCCUUGUUUGACAGGGACAUGACUGGGUUGAAGCUCAACAAUAUUGUGCCUCAUUUCUCAAUAAGUUGGCUAUCCUUGUGGGCUGUAAAAAUUUUCUUUGACUCUUACAGACAAACUGUAGACCCCCCCUCUGUUAAUGUACAAUUUGAUUUUUCUACAUUACUUCAUCUGUAUCUGUCGUUCUGAAAGUGGGAAGGAGUGUACACUCCAGCAAGCGAAAUAGAAAUGGGUAGAAAGGAAGAAUGGAGGAUUUGCUAUUUAUCUUCAACUUAAAUCGAUUGGUAAAUAAAGUUAUCCUUUCUGCCACUUUGUAGAGAAUUUUCUUUUUGGUGUACCAUGGUGCUUUUGCUUAUUUUGAUGUUGCUACAGUUGGUGUACCAUGUUCCUUUGCUGAAACAUCUUUCUUGACAACUUGAAAAUGUAUUUGGAAGAUUAACUAUGAUGUCUACUUGUUAUGGCAUCAAGGCUGGUGACUUGCACGAUUAGCAUUAACAAUUGAUAUCAUUGGUCAGUUUUGACUUCCAUUUGAAUUGUUUUUAAUUGUAGUUUUAAAAACUAUCAAAUCUAAAUCAUCAAAUUUAAUCCAAUGGUUCACAAUUAUAGUGGUCUCCCCCCCAACUAAGUUGAGAGAAGGCACCUCCCCAGAACCACAAGUGUUCAUUGGCUUUCGCUUCUCUUUUGAUCUUUUGAUUUUAUUAUAUCUUGUGCUUUCAUAAGGAAUAGAACCAUCAUGAGAUAUUCAGAACAUUUUGGUAGUCUAGAGACGGCAAAGAUGGGUCCUUUUUCAAGGACUCCACAAAUCCCGGAGAGGUUGUGGGAUUGAACCUCAAGGGUGCACGUUCUAUCAAAUCCUUGGGAAUUUGAUCAUUAUGAAGGCUUUAGGAUGGUUGUGCUAUUAGCGUACCCUAUCCUGAGUAAAUUGGGCUCAAGAGGGUUUCACUCUCCUCCCAACUAGGAAAACUUAUGGGGUGAACUUUGAGAAAAGGGAGGGCGAGCACAAGUGUUGGAAAAUUGUAACUGUUUUGGAUCCUUGAAAUUGGUUUUAAAAUGUUGAAAAUUUUUAAAUUUUGCAAAUAUGGGAAAAUUGACCAUUUUGGACAAUUUAAUUUGAAAUGUUAAUGUGGAUCUUUUGCUGCUUGUA